Molecule: ribosomal RNA, 468 nt
Filed under: uncultured bacterium
Lineage: Bacteria
Description: partial 16S ribosomal RNA
Rfam family: Bacterial small subunit ribosomal RNA
Source: RNAcentral
GACGAACGCUGGCGGCGUGCUUAACACAUGCAAGUCGAACGGAAAGGCCCUGCUUUUUUGGGGUUCUCGAGGGGCGAACGGGUGAGUAACACGUGAGUAACCUGCUCUUGACUUUGGGAUAACUUCAGGAAACUGGGGCUAAGACCGGAUAGGAGCCCCUGUUGGAUGGUGGGCGGUGGAAAGUUUCGGCGGUUGGGGAUGGACUGGCGGCUUAUCAGCUUGUUGGUGGGGUAGUGGCUUACCAAGGCUUUGACGGGUAGCCGGCCGGAGAGGGUGACCGGCCACAUUGGGACUGAGAUACGGCGCAGAGUGCUACGGGAGGCAGCAGUGGGGAAUAUUGCACAAUGGGCGGAAGCCUGAUGCAGCAACGCCGCGUGCGGGAUGACGGCCUUCGGGUUGUAAACCGCUUUAGCCUGUGACGCAGCGUGAGUGACGGUAAUGGGUAAAGAAGCACCGGCUAACUACGUG